GUCUACAGCCAUACCACCCUGAAUGCGCCUGAUCUUGUCUGAUCUCAGAAGCUAAGCAGGAUCGGGUCUAGUUAGUACCUGGAUGGGAGACUGUCUGGGAACACCAGGCGCUGUAGGCU
Molecule: ribosomal RNA, 119 nt
Filed under: Cercocebus atys (sooty mangabey)
Lineage: Eukaryota; Metazoa; Chordata; Mammalia; Primates; Cercopithecidae
Source: RNAcentral